This is a long non-coding RNA of Equus caballus (horse), 2668 nucleotides long. The record is from Ensembl. NCBI's taxonomy places the organism in Eukaryota, Metazoa, Chordata, Mammalia, Perissodactyla, Equidae.
CUCCUACUUCCCGCCUGUGGUUAAACCUUGCCUCAGGUCUGCUCUCUCGGGGAAGGCUAAGCCACCUGGUUUUCCAGUCUAACCAUUAAGUGAAACCCAGCCCCGUUCUCCCUGAGCACCUGUGUGCAGGGCACUGACACACGCCAGCGUGAGCAAGCGUGAGUUUGCACCGGACACACCUCAGCCCAGACGCUGCCUCUGCUACUGCCCAGCUAUGCGACCACAGACAAGUCACUGAAUCUUCCUGGAUUUUAUCUAGUAGGGACCUCAUAAAAAUCUUGCAUGGUAAUCAGACAGAAAUUGGCCCAUUUGACAGAUAAAAUACUGAGACAGAAGUUGAGUAACUUCCCUAACUCACAGUGAGCGGGGGUGUUAGAAAUCUCUCCCUCAUAUUUCUCUACCGACGUUUGCGUUUUAUUUGACGUGCUCAACAAUUACCACAGUCAGCUGCAAUGCUUCACUCUCCCUUUUAAAAUAAAGAUCAACAUGCGCACUCAAAUUCUCUCAAGGACACUGUAGCCAGCACUUAAAAAGUGAAUAUUCCAUGAACCUGGUCUUUGGCAUCGUGAAGACCAAAACGAAAGUUUAAGAAAUCGCUUAAAAAGUUAAAUAAACAAGUUUAAUAAAUCGAGUUCACAUUGUAAACAUCUACACUGCUGAAAACGUUUUGAUGGUUGGGAAAUUUUUGGCAGCCACGUGCUAAACAUCAAAAGUAAUUCUGUAGGCAGCCGUAGGGUUUUUUCGAUGCGUUUCAAGGGACCAACAUCUCAAAAACACUGCUGAGAACCGUGGCCUCGUUCUCAACAAAGCACAAGCAGCCUUAGACCACAGCUGACGUGGUGCUGGCCGGCACCGGUGCAGGGCUCGCAGGCGCACCUGCACGGUUGUGGCACCAAGAACAACUGUGAAAUAUACAACCCACGCUUGCUGGAGUCCAGCUCCUAACAGUGUUGGAAACUAAAGACACCUUGACUAUCAAGCUAUAGAAACAGAACAAUGGCAAUGUUGUACGUGAAACACAGCUGCUCGUCUACACUGGCUUCAAUACUGUUGUCCGUGCCCACUCCACACCACAGUAGGGGCCCACCAGGUUUCCUUGGUGAGUUUCCUUGAAUUUCGGUGAAGCCCCACGGCUGCCAAUGAAAGGAAAAGGGAGAUAGGAAACGUCAGCACAGAGUCAGAGAUGGAAACGCUAACAGCUGCGUAGAUCAGAGCAGGAGGCCUGCUCUGCCAGGAUGUCCCUAAGCCCUAGAGGAGGCAGUGUGGACCACCGUGACAUCUUCAGGUGUGGGGAGUGAGCUGCCAAGACUGACGGGUGGAUCUUAUUACAGAGCCCACAAGAGCCCUGCUCUCCUCCGCUCACGUGCGCUCAAUACAACACCUUCCCGUGACCACACACCCACCGGGCACACGCUUGCUGCCGCGGCCGCCAGCACUGCUCCAGACGCAGAGUGUGGGCUGAGAAGAGGGAAACCUCUGCCCUCAGGAGCUCUUGCUUUUCUGGGGAAGACAAAACAAGAAGUAACAAAGACAAUCCUUGCAAGCGUCAUGUCUGUAGAUUGUAAUAAAUGCAGUAAAAGAAGUAGAUAGGGUUAUAGGACUGUGAGCGAUGACAAAGACUCCCCGCUUUAGGCCCAAACUGUAGUCAGGCCCCUCGGAGCCCUCUCCCCCACUGGCUGGGCCUGCAGAGCCCGUUUUAGCAAGAAUCCUGCCAAGUCCAUUUAGAGAGAGUCGCUCCCCCCGGAUAUCUGACCGAUUGCCUCACCCCACCCUCACCCGCAAGUGAUGCCUGCUGGCCCCGGCCUGCCCCAGCCAGAAUCCUGCUAGGCAGUCUAGACAGGACCCUAUCUUGCCAUGUCCUGAACCGAAGGGAGAGACGUGCUAUUUUUGGUAAGCUGGGUGAGGCAAGACCCCUCUGAAGAGCUCGGGCCUGAAGGAUGAGGAGGAGCCAGACUCGCAGGAGGGAAGGAAAGCAGUCCUCACUGAGAGGGGCUGGACGCGGCGCUGGCCACGGGAGUCUCCACAGCCUCACCCUCGGGGCGGAGGCAGAACAGCCAGAUCCAUGGUUUGUCUAGAAUUGUUAGCUCGAGACACAGGAAGAGCUAAAUAGCCCUGAAGUUUCCCAUGAGGAGAUGAAAGAGAAUGAAGCAUAAAGCUACAGCCUGACGUCGGAAGGCCCCUUUAUUGAAGCAAUAUCCCGGGCGGCUCAGGGGACCCAGACUUCAUUACCCGCACAGCUGUGCCCCGUCUUUCCUCGGCCAACCCUUAUUCAGAAGGACGCCAGACAACCAAAGAGUCAGAAAAAAACAGUGUAUGAGCUUUGGAAAAGCUGGGACGUCCUGCCCAGAGCGGAAUACGGUUUCCAAAGCCGCCUGCCCGGUAGGAGACAAGCAGGACUGAAGGAGAGGGGCCGAUUGGCACUUAGUCCUUCUGUCUCCCCAGCAUCCACCUCCCUCUGCCCUCCGUCUACUUAGAGGUCAGAGGGGAAAGAUUGCAAGGUGGAGGUGUGUUGAGUUUCUCACCUCCUGAGAAUGUUUCCCAAAGCAGUUAGAUGACAACAAAAUGCCUUUCAUUAAAAGUUUACAGACAGAAGAUAUAUAAACAGCCAACAGCGUGUGAAAAGAUGCUCCCCACCAUCCGUCACUAGAGAAAUGCAAGUCAAAAGCAC